This 468-nucleotide ribosomal RNA is filed under the name uncultured bacterium. Its description in RNAcentral is "partial 16S ribosomal RNA". It matches the Rfam family "Bacterial small subunit ribosomal RNA", at positions 28 to 507 of the family's 1533-position model. The record is from RNAcentral.
GACGAACGCUGGCGGCGUGCUUAACACAUGCAAGUCGAACGGAAAGGCCCUGCUUUUGUGGGGUGCUCGAGUGGCGAACGGGUGAGUAACACGUGAGUAACCUGCCCUUGACUUUGGGAUAACUUCAGGAAACUGGGGCUAAUACCGGAUAGGAGCUCCUGCUGCAUGGUGGGGGUUGGAAAGUUUCGGCGGUUGGGGAUGGACUCGCGGCUUAUCAGCUUGUUGGUGGGGUAGUGGCUUACCAAGGCUUUGACGGGUAGCCGGCCUGAGAGGGUGACCGGCGACAUUGGGACUGAGAUACGGAGCAGACUCCUACGGGAGGCAGCAGGGGGGAAUAUUGCACAAUGGGCGGAAGCCUGAUGCGGCAACGCCGCGUGCGGGAUGACGGCCUUCGGGUUGUAAACCGCUUUCGCCUGUGACGAAGCGUGAGUGACGGUAAUGGGUAAAGAAGCACCGGCUAACUACGUG